RNAcentral lists this long non-coding RNA (594 nucleotides) under Vulpes vulpes (red fox). RNAcentral describes it as "lncRNA (ENSVVUG00000010119.1)". Lineage: Eukaryota; Metazoa; Chordata; Mammalia; Carnivora; Canidae. The record is from RNAcentral.
AUAACUCUGUACCAUAGAAGGAGAAUUCUGAAUUUGGGAUACAGUUAGCUUUCAAGGUUGCUUUACUGCUUUUCUAGGGCAACACCAUUUUGUCCAAUGGCCCAGAUGCCCAAAUUCCAUCAAAGGAUUGUCUGCUGCUUACCACCAAGCUCAUCUUAUUACUGUUGAAGCACUGAAGCAAUUCCUGCUUCCCGUCAGUGAAUGAAAAUCCCUUGGAGAAGGAAGAGCCCUCUGUUCAUUUGUGACCUCUAUCUGAUGGGCUGAUUUCCUAAAUUUCAAGAUGUACCUAAUGCCCUGACUGCCACACGAAGCGGAAAGCCACAGAUGUCCUCUGAACAAUUAUAUAAAGGUAAGGAGUUUCAACAACUCUGUAGUUGAGAGAGCAUGAGAAGACCACCCGGGCAUAAAAUACCAUCUCUUGUAAGUUUGGAAACCCAAAUGCUCUAAAAUGCAUCCUGAAACCAUGUAAGAAAAUCAUGUUUUACUUCAGAAAUAAUUAGUAUUGAAAAUAAGCCCUUGUUCAAGCAAAGGAGCUGGCUGGCAGAGAGUAGUAAACUGCUAUCCAGCUAUCAGAGGUGUUCAUGAAAAUGUGAC